This 331-nucleotide unclassified non-coding RNA is filed under the name soil metagenome. RNAcentral describes it as "partial contains 5.8S ribosomal RNA, internal transcribed spacer 2, and large subunit ribosomal RNA". The stretch from base 1 to 120 matches the Rfam family "5.8S ribosomal RNA", at positions 35 to 154 of the family's 154-position model. The record is from RNAcentral.
GAUGAAGAACGCAGCGAAAUGCGAUAAGUAAUGUGAAUUGCAGAAUUCAGUGAAUCAUCGAAUCUUUGAACGCACAUUGCGCCCCCUGGUAUUCCGGGGGGCAUGCCUGCUCGAGCGUCAUUUCACCACUCAAGCCUCGCUUGGUAUUGGGCAACGCGGUCCGCCGCGUGCCUCAAAUCGACCGGCUGGGUCUUCUGUCCCCUAAGCGUUGUGGAAACUAUUCGCUAAAGGGUGUUCGGGAGGCUACGCCGUAAAACAACCCCAUUUCUAAGGUUGACCUCGGAUCAGGUAGGGAUACCCGCUGAACUUAAGCAUAUCAAUAAGCGGAGGA